This is a long non-coding RNA of Callithrix jacchus (white-tufted-ear marmoset), 1351 nucleotides long. RefSeq lists it as uncharacterized. Lineage: Eukaryota; Metazoa; Chordata; Mammalia; Primates; Cebidae. The record is from RefSeq and is a predicted model, not a curated record.
UGUUGCUGGCUUUCCACAGAGUGAGAAAUCCAAGAGGGUAGCAGUGUCCUUGUCCUCUAUGACCUGGCAUCUGAAGUCACACAUCAUUCCUCCUGCAGUGUUCUGUUAGUCACAGGGUUCAUCCCUGAUUUAGUGUGAAAGUAGAUUGUAUCACGGCGUGAAUACCAGGAGGUGGGGAUCACUGGGGGCCAUCCUAGAGGCUGACCCAGGCAGAAUAAAGGAGGCUGUACAAGAAGCAUGGCACCAGCAACUGCAACUGCUUGCUCUGGCUAACAACCACUAUCAUCAAAGUUGUCUGAAGACUUCCUGUUGCUGCGACUGGUGGGACUCUUGGUGGAAGCCCUAUUUCCACGUGCCAAUGGUUGCAGCUCCCUAAGGGAACAGGACACUGUUGAAUUCUCUAAGAAGCUCAGAGGAAGUCACUUCUCACUAUGGUGCCAUAAGGGACUUGAAGUCAUUCUAUUCAUGCUCUGUUUUUCAGUAAAGCUGCUUCUGCUUCUGGCUUUUGUGCCAUGUCUCCUGCAAGGAAUUCCCAAAACUUAAAACAAACCAAAACCCAAAGCCAACAAAAUAUAAAUAAAUAAAUAAAUAAACCAAACAAAUAAACUAAUGAAAAAAAAAAAAAGAAGAAGAAAUGAAGUCAACAUUCUGUGAGAUCCAGCUCCGAUUCUACCUUACACAAUGAUUAAACCACAAGACUUAACUUCAGCCACAGGUCACCACAAUUUUGUCAAAAACAAAAGUGCCUUAAGAUUGUAUAGUUAAAGACCUUAUCUGUUGAUUUUCUUAACAAGAAAUCAGGAAAGAGCCUCUCCAGGUAAUUGAAAGUCUCUUAGAGACCAAAAACUGCUCCUAGGGUUACAUUUAAAUAAAAGUGUCUACUUGAUUUUACUCAUCAACAAUUAAAAAACUCCAAUCUUAGCCAAGAUACCCUUUUGCAUAAGUCAUCUUACAAUGCCUUCCCUUUUUCCCCAGUGAAUGUACAUGGUCAUUGUCACAGCCAUGUGAUUUUCUUAAACAAAGUUCCCCAGUCAGUGGAUUCACAGGAUGAGAGUUGGCAUAAUACCUGUGGUGGAAAGACAGAGGAGAAAGAUCAUUGAAGGUGCUGAUGAGAGUAUCUUUGAUGAAAUUCAUCAAGGGCCCUAAGAGUGCUGGAGAAAUAAGUGAGAAAAAAAAGGUACUGAUGGAAAAGUCUUCUAAAGAAAGACUUCUCAAUGAUAUAAAAUAACACUAAUCAUAACUAAUAAUUAUCAGCCUUUAUUUGGGUAGGCGCUGCAAGAAGAACCUUAUCUGCAUUAUCUUGCUCAAUUCUUACAACAGCUUGGUGAGUUAUAUACUAUUAUUUUCUCCA